Molecule: long non-coding RNA, 409 nt
Filed under: Mus musculus (house mouse)
Lineage: Eukaryota; Metazoa; Chordata; Mammalia; Rodentia; Muridae
Description: long non-coding RNA chr2:37036023-37036432
Source: RNAcentral
UGUACCUAGUUCUUCACUGACUUGAGGUGCCAGCAAGCAUUUCCUAAUGAAAACAAUGCCAGAUCUUUCUUAAAUUCUUGCCAAAACAAUUCUAUGUGCAAUUUUUUAUGAGAUAGCUGUUGCUUAGACAUAGUCAAUAAUUUGGACAAAGACUGUGAAGAUCUAAAAGGCCCUUGCUCUUCCAGUCCAAGGAACUGCCACUUGUGUGAGGAGAUGCAAAUGCCUGAGGAGAAAAGGGUUUCCAUGCCAAUGUCCUCAUGGGUACAAAAGGCUGACCUAUGAAACUGUCACUAAUUUCUGUGAAGAGAAUGCCUGCCACCAUAAAGGAACCUGCAAUAAAGACCCUGAACACUUUGUCUGUAUUUCAUCUACUGGAUAUCUUAUAAGGUUCUGUGAGACAGAUCACAAU